This 364-nucleotide unclassified non-coding RNA is filed under the name uncultured Ascomycota. RNAcentral's name for it is "sequence contains ITS2". The stretch from base 1 to 154 matches the Rfam family "5.8S ribosomal RNA". Lineage: Eukaryota; Fungi; Ascomycota. The record is from RNAcentral.
AACUUUUGGCAAUGGAUCACUUGGUUCUGGCAUCGAUGAAGAACGCAGCGAAAUGCGAUAAGUAAUGCGAAUUGCAGAAUUCAGUAAGUCAUCGAAUCUUUGAACGCACAUUGCGCCCUGUGGUAUUCCGCAGGGCAUGCCUGUUCGAGCGUCAGUGCAACCUUCAAGCUCAGCUUGGUUUUGAGCCAUGCCAGUAAAAUGGCCGGCUUUAAAGUUAUUGGCGGUGACAUUAGGCUCUUAGCGCAGUAAUACUUCUCGCUAUUGGGUUCUAGUGGGUGCUUGCCAACAACCCCAACUUUCCAAGUUUGACCUCGGAUCAGGUAGGGAUACCCGCUGAACUUAAGCAUAUCAAUAAGCGGAGGCU